GCCUGGGUGGCUCAGUUGGUGGAGCGUCCGACUUCGGCUCAGGUCAUGAUCUCUCGGUUCGUGGGUUUGAGCCCCGCGUCGGGCU
Felis catus (domestic cat) is the source of this 85-nucleotide transfer RNA. It matches the Rfam family "tRNA". Rfam says of the family: Transfer RNA (tRNA) molecules are approximately 80 nucleotides in length. The record is from Rfam. NCBI's taxonomy places the organism in Eukaryota, Metazoa, Chordata, Mammalia, Carnivora, Felidae.